RNAcentral lists this ribosomal RNA (253 nucleotides) under uncultured bacterium. RNAcentral describes it as "partial 16S ribosomal RNA". It matches the Rfam family "Bacterial small subunit ribosomal RNA", at positions 524 to 776 of the family's 1533-position model. The record is from RNAcentral.
GACGAACCGAGCGAACGUUGUUCGGAAUCACUGGGCUUAAGGCGGCGUAGGCGGGCUGCCGCGUCCGGGGUGAAAUCCCACGGCUCAACCGUGGAACGGCCCCGGGUACGGGCGGCCUCGAGGGGGGUAGGGGCGUGCGGAACUGUGGGUGGAGCGGUGAAAUGCGUUGAGAUCCACAGGAACUCCGGUGGCGAAGGCGGCACGCUGGACCCCCACUGACGCUGAGGCGCGGAAAGCCAGGGGAGCGAACGGG